UUGAUCAUGGCUCAGAUUGAACGCUGGCGGCAGGCUUAACACAUGCAAGUCGAGCGGAGAGAGGUAGCUUGCUACUGAUCUUAGCGGCGGACGGGUGAGUAAUACUUAGGAAUCUGGCUAUUAGUGGGGGACAACAUUUCGAAAGGGAUGCUAAUACCGCAUACGUCCUACGGGAGAAAGCAGGGGAUCUUCGGACCUUGCGCUAAUAGAUGAGCCUAAGUCGGAUUAGCUAGUUGGUGGGGUAAAGGCCUACCAAGGCGACGAUCUGUAGCGGGUCUGAGAGGAUGAUCCGCCACACUGGGACUGAGACACGGCCCAGACUCCUACGGGAGGCAGCAGUGGGGAAUAUUGGACAAUGGGGGGAACCCUGAUCCAGCCAUGCCGCGUGUGUGAAGAAGGCCUUAUGGUUGUAAAGCACUUUAAGCGAGGAGGAGGGUACUGGUAUUA
RNAcentral lists this ribosomal RNA (447 nucleotides) under uncultured bacterium. Its description in RNAcentral is "bacterial SSU rRNA". It matches the Rfam family "Bacterial small subunit ribosomal RNA", at positions 13 to 462 of the family's 1533-position model. The record is from RNAcentral.